GGGGCUGUAGCGCAGUUGGGAGCGCGCUUGAAUGGCAUUCAAGAGGUCAGGGGUUCGACUCCCCUCAGCUCCACCA
This 76-nucleotide transfer RNA is filed under the name Desulforhabdus sp. TSK. RNAcentral's name for it is "tRNA-Ala". It matches the Rfam family "tRNA". Rfam says of the family: Transfer RNA (tRNA) molecules are approximately 80 nucleotides in length. Their secondary structure includes four short double-helical elements and three loops (D, anti-codon, and T loops). The record is from RNAcentral. Lineage: Bacteria; Pseudomonadati; Thermodesulfobacteriota; Syntrophobacteria; Syntrophobacterales; Syntrophobacteraceae.